CUUGGAACAGGACGUCAUAGAGGGUGAGAAUCCCGUAUGUGACUGGCCGCCACGCCUGUGUGAAGCUCCUUCGACGAGUCGAGUUGUUUGGGAAUGCAGCUCAAAAUGGGUGGUAAAUUUCAUCUAAAGCUAAAUACUGGCCAGAGACCGAUAGCGCACAAGUAGAGUGAUCGAAAGAUGAAAAGCACUUUGGAAAGAGAGUCAAACAGUACGUGAAAUUGUUGAAAGGGAAGCGCUUGCAACCAGACUUGCCCGCGGGUGAUCAACCGAUACUUCUUACCGGUGCACUCGCCCGUGGUCAGGCCAGCAUCGGUUUGGGCGGCUGGAUAAAGUCCACUGGAAUGUAGCUCCUCUCGGGGAGUGUUAUAGCCAGAGGUGCCAUGCAGCCCGUCCGGACCGAGGACCGCGCUUCGGCUAGGAUGCUGGCGUAAUGGUUGUAAGCGACCCGUCUUGAAACACGGACCAAGGAGUCUAACAUCUAUGCGAGUGUUUGGGUGUCAAACCCAUGCGCGUAAUGAAAGUGAACGGAGGUGGGAACCCUUAAGGGUGCACCAUCGACCGAUCCUGAUGUCUUCGGAUGGAUUUGAGUAAGAGCAUAGCUGUUGGGACCCGAAAGAUGGUGAACUAUGCCUGAAUAGGGUGAAGCCAGAGGAAACUCUGGUGGAGGCUCGCAGCGGUUCUGACGUGCAAAUCGAUCGUCAAAUUU
Molecule: ribosomal RNA, 706 nt
Filed under: Acarospora admissa
Lineage: Eukaryota; Fungi; Ascomycota; Lecanoromycetes; Acarosporales; Acarosporaceae
Description: partial large subunit ribosomal RNA
Rfam family: Eukaryotic large subunit ribosomal RNA
Source: RNAcentral